GGGCGUUUAGCUCAGUUGGUAGAGCAGCUGACUCUUAAUCAGCGGGCCGUAGGUUCGAGUCCUACAACGCCCACCA
Molecule: transfer RNA, 76 nt
Filed under: Terasakiella magnetica
Lineage: Bacteria; Pseudomonadati; Pseudomonadota; Alphaproteobacteria; Rhodospirillales; Terasakiellaceae
Description: Candidatus Terasakiella magnetica tRNA-Lys
Rfam family: tRNA
About the family: Transfer RNA (tRNA) molecules are approximately 80 nucleotides in length. Their secondary structure includes four short double-helical elements and three loops (D, anti-codon, and T loops).
Source: RNAcentral